AGCAGCCGCGGUAAUUCCAGCUCCAAUAGCGUAUAUUAAAGUUGUUGCAGUUAAAAAGCUCGUAGUUGAAUUUCGGGACUAAUAUGUCGGUCGUACUUUGUACGUACUAGCAUUAUUGGUUUCUCCCUUCUGACGAACCACGAUGUCAUUAAUUUGGUGUCAUGGGAAAUCAGGACUGUUACUUUGAAAAAAUUAGAGUGUUUAAAGCAAGCUCGCGCUUGAAUACAUUAGCAUGGAAUAAUGAAAUAGGACGUUUGAUUCUAUUUUGUUGGUUUCUAGGAUCGACGUAAUGAUUAAUAGGGAUAGUUGGGGGCAUUAGUAUUCAAUUGUCAGAGGUGAAAUUCUUGGAUUUAUUGAAGACUAACUACUGCGAAAGCAUUUGCCAAGGAUGUUUUCAUUAAUCAAGAACGAAAGUUAGGGGAUCGAAGACGAUCAGAUACCGUCGUAGUCUUAACCAUAAACUAUGCCGACUAGGGAUCGGAUGAUGUUAAUUUUUAAUGACUCAUUCGGCGCCUUAAC
RNAcentral lists this ribosomal RNA (519 nucleotides) under uncultured Glomus. Its description in RNAcentral is "SSU rRNA". It matches the Rfam family "Eukaryotic small subunit ribosomal RNA", at positions 569 to 1092 of the family's 1831-position model. Lineage: Eukaryota; Fungi; Glomeromycota; Glomeromycetes; Glomerales; Glomeraceae. The record is from RNAcentral.